CCUACGGGGGACAGCAGUGAGGAAUAUUGGGCAAUGGACGAGAGUCUGAACCAGCCAAGUAGCGUGAAGGAUGACUGCCCUAUGGGUUGUAAACUUCUUUUAUAUGGGAAUAAAAUGUUCCACGUGUGGGCUUUUGUAUGUACCUUAUGAAUAAGGAUCGGCUAACGCCGUGCCAGCAGCCGCGGUAAUACGGAGGAUCCGAGCGUUAUCCGGCUUUAUUGGGUUUAAAGGGAGCGUAGGUGGGUUGUUAAGUCAGUUGUGAAAGUUUGCGGCUCAACCGUAAAAUUGCAGUUGAAACUGGCAGUCUUGAGUACAGUAGAGGUGGGCGGAAUUCGUGGUGUAGCGGUGAAAUGCUUAGAUAUCACGAAGAACUCCGAUUGCGAAGGCAGCUCACUGGACUGCAACUGACACUGAGGCUCGAAAGUGUGGGUAUCAAACAGGAUUAGAUACCCCUGUAGUC
RNAcentral lists this ribosomal RNA (460 nucleotides) under uncultured bacterium. RNAcentral describes it as "partial 16S ribosomal RNA". It matches the Rfam family "Bacterial small subunit ribosomal RNA", at positions 338 to 795 of the family's 1533-position model. The record is from RNAcentral.